GGGAUUUUAGUAGAUGAAAAAGA
RNAcentral lists this non-coding RNA (23 nucleotides) under Cricetulus griseus (Chinese hamster). Lineage: Eukaryota; Metazoa; Chordata; Mammalia; Rodentia; Cricetidae. The record is from RNAcentral.